CACCAUGGGAGUGGGUUGCAAAAGAAGUAGGUAGCUUAACCUUCGGGAGGGCGCUUACCACUUUGUGAUUCAUGACUGGGGUGAAGUCGUAACAAGGUAACCGUAGGGGAACCUGCGGUUGGAUCACCUCCUUA
This 134-nucleotide ribosomal RNA is filed under the name Acinetobacter baumannii. RNAcentral's name for it is "partial 16S ribosomal RNA". It matches the Rfam family "Bacterial small subunit ribosomal RNA", at positions 1400 to 1533 of the family's 1533-position model. RNAcentral also lists the same sequence under 10 other names. Lineage: Bacteria; Pseudomonadati; Pseudomonadota; Gammaproteobacteria; Moraxellales; Moraxellaceae. The record is from RNAcentral.